GGGAUGGUAAAUGUCAAAUUGCAUAUAUUUUUCUGAGUUAAAUUCAUCAUCACAUCUAAAUUUAAGUUUUCUAACAAUAAUUUCAAUUGAAGCUUUACCAAUUUCAUCUUCAUGUUCCCUUGCAAUUUCCUUUUACUCUGCACAUUGGCCAUUAGGAAAAAAAUUAUAGAUUCAGUUGAAGGAUUUUUUUUCCCUUUUUUUUU
RNAcentral lists this unclassified non-coding RNA (203 nucleotides) under Hevea brasiliensis (rubber tree). Lineage: Eukaryota; Viridiplantae; Streptophyta; Magnoliopsida; Malpighiales; Euphorbiaceae. The record is from RNAcentral.